Molecule: ribosomal RNA, 442 nt
Filed under: uncultured bacterium
Lineage: Bacteria
Description: partial 16S ribosomal RNA
Rfam family: Bacterial small subunit ribosomal RNA
Source: RNAcentral
CCUACGGGGGGCAGCAGUAGGGAAUCUUUCACAAUGGGCGAAAGCCUGAUGGAGCAACGCCGCGUGCAGGAUGAAGGCCUUCGGGUUGUAAACUGCUUUUAUAAGAGAGAAAUAUGAUGGUAACUUAUGAAUAAGGAUCGGCUAACUACGUGCUAGCAGCCGCGGUCAUACGUAGGAUCCGAGCGUUAUCCGGAGUGACUGGGGGUAAAGAGUUGCGUAGGUGGCAUAAUAAGUAGAGAGUGGAAUCUGGUGGCUCAACCAUUCAGACUAUUAGCGAAACUGUUAGGCUCGAGACCAUUAGAGGUAAGUGGAAUUUCUAGUGUAGGGGUGAAAUGCGUAGAUAUUAGGAGGAACACCAAUAGCGAAGGCAGGUUACUGGAACGGUUCUGACACUGAGGCACGAAAGCGUAGGGAGCAAACGGGAUUAGAUACCCCUGUAGUC